AUGGGCGGCAGCGGAGAUCAACGGUGGGUGCAAGAGACGCCGAUGGGCAGCGGGUCGAAUCCAGACUCGGGAGAAGCUCUUCGUCGCUACCGUGGUCUCCUGAGGUGGGAGACCGAUUUGCUGCGGAGUGAGGUCAGGUCCCGGGGCCUCGAUACGAUUGCUGGAAAGAAGGCUUAUCUUGAGCGCCAUUCUGAUGGAAGACAACUGCAAGAGCUGUUGUCCGCCCCUGAGGUCGGGAGUGUGCCUCUGGUGUCUUGGCCUUACCUUGUUCCUCAUCAUGAGGAGGCCGUGGAGCUACUCUUGCACGAGGCACACAGACUGACCUACCGCAUCCAAUCUCUGAGGGAACUCGGUGUGCCAAUCCCAUUGGAGAAGCUCGAAUUACUUUUUCGCUUGUCCGGAAUGUGUGCGAGCCUCUCCAGAAGAAUAAGGACGCAUGCAUCGCCAACCUCAAGCGAGUCUUCUCAGGAUGCUGCAAUUUCUCCUUACAAGGAGCGACGUAAGAGCUGGGUGUCGACUUGGGGGAGUCCAGUAUUAGGAUGCGGCGGCUUCCAUGACAUAACCACACUGUCUCCUAUGUAUUUUACCCCCUGCGCCCCUCGUAUCAUCCCAUCGUCCGCCUUUGCCACCGAGGCCUUACAGAUCUACUCGUUCGAAAUCUUUGAGCUGGAUGACAGCUUGAAGUGGCCACUCAAUAUCUAUGGUGUGGUCGCUGCUCGAGAUGCUGUGGAUGGUAACCGCAACCUUCUCUUCUCUCGCUCCACGGCUAACUGCCAAUUACUCACUAAAGAGGAUCCUUUUUUGCACUUGACUGGCCCUUCUCGUGCUAUUCUGUCUGAGUAUCCGGUUGAUUUUGAAGUUGAACUAAGGAUAAAAGAUGGAAGCGAGUCUCAAGAUAAAGCAUUGAUCAGUUCUACUAACCACCACCAUUUUUGUGCUGAUACUGCUCUUUUCUUUGGCUGCCUGUGUUCAGCAAAGUUAAACCUCCAGACUGUUGCUAGUGCUGUCCAGGUCACGAUAUUAUCAGUUCGUGUCACUGGAGGGCUGUCUACUUUUGAAUUUGGAGGGCAAAUUGCGUGUUCAUUGUCUACUGCAGGUCGCCAAGUUGUGUUGUUUGAUUCUAGUGAAGAAUUUUGUGAAGAUCUGGAAGGUUACGUUCCAUUGGCAAGGAAUGUUGUUACGGUGGAAUCAAAAGGUUCACUGAGGAUCAUCAUAAAAAGUUACACAGAAUCUCAUCUUGUUGCUCACCAGGCUGAGUUUGAAUUCGAUGCCAAGCAUUGUCAGAUAAGCAGUCAGGAACGUGUUAUUGGUGAUUCUAAGCUGCAGGUUGUCAUUGCUUGGUCCCUACUUGUGAGGGACAAGCUUGACAACAUGGCAGCGGGGUAUGCCUUCACUUAUCCCUCUCUCUGUGGCUAG
This 1416-nucleotide ribosomal RNA is filed under the name Triticum aestivum (bread wheat). RNAcentral describes it as "partial small subunit ribosomal RNA". Lineage: Eukaryota; Viridiplantae; Streptophyta; Magnoliopsida; Poales; Poaceae. The record is from RNAcentral.